AGCUUGAUUGCAAGACAUACAGGUCGAGCAAGGAUGAAAAUCGGACUUAGUGAUCCGGUGGUUCUGCGUGGAAGGGCCAUCGCUCAACGGAUUAAAGCUACCCUGGGGAUAACAGGCUUAUCUCCCCCAAGAGUCCACAUCGACGGGGAGGUUUGGCACCUCGAUGUCGGCUCAUCACAUCCUGGGGCUGUAGUAGGUCCCAAGGGUUGGGCUGUUCGCCCAUUAAAGUGGUACGCGAGCUGGGUUCAGAACGUCGUGAGACAGUUCGGUCCCUAUCCGUCGCAGGCGUAGGAAAGUUGAGAAGACCUGUCCUUAGUACGAGAGGACCGGGAUGGACGUACCUCUGGUGUACCAGUUGUUCUGCCAAGGGCAUGGCUGGGUAGCUAUGUACGGAAUGGAUAAGCGCUGAAAGCAUCUAAGCGCGAAGCCAACUUCAAGAUAAGAUUUCCCACCGCAAGGGUAAGACCCCAGAAAGACUAUCUGGUUGAUAGGUCGAAGGUGUAAGUGCAGCAAUGUAUUUAGCUUAUCGAUACUAAUAGGUCGAGGACUUGACCAAU
RNAcentral lists this ribosomal RNA (557 nucleotides) under Clostridioides difficile. RNAcentral describes it as "bacterial LSU rRNA". It matches the Rfam family "Bacterial large subunit ribosomal RNA", at positions 2366 to 2925 of the family's 2925-position model. Lineage: Bacteria; Bacillati; Bacillota; Clostridia; Peptostreptococcales; Peptostreptococcaceae. The record is from RNAcentral.